Molecule: ribosomal RNA, 786 nt
Filed under: uncultured bacterium
Lineage: Bacteria
Description: bacterial SSU rRNA
Rfam family: Bacterial small subunit ribosomal RNA
Source: RNAcentral
GAUGAACGCUGGCGGCGUGCUUAAUACAUGCAAGUCGAACGAAGCACCUUGGACAGAAUCCUUCGGGAGGAAGACCAUUGUGACUGAGUGGCGGACGGGUGAGUAACGCGUGGGUAACCUGCCUUGUACAGGGGGAUAACAGUUGGAAACGACUGCUAAUACCGCAUAAGCGCACAGUACCGCAUGGUACGGUGUGAAAAACUCCGGUGGUACAAGAUGGACCCGCGUCUGAUUAGCUGGUUGGUGAGGUAACGGCCCACCAAGGCGACGAUCAGUAGCCGACUUGAGAGAGUGAUCGGCCACAUUGGGACUGAGACACGGCCCAAACUCCUACGGGAGGCAGCAGUAGGGAAUAUUGCACAAUGGGGGAAACCCUGAUGCAGCGACGCCGCGUGAAGGAAGAAGUAUUUCGGUAUGUAAACUUCUAUCAGCAAGGAAGAAAAUGACGGUACUUGACUAAGAAGCCCCGGCUAAAUACGUGCCAGCAGCCGCGGUAAUACGUAUGGGGCAAGCGUUAUCCGGAUUUACUGGGUGUAAAGGGAGCGUAGGCGGCAUGGCAAGUCAGAAGUGAAAGCCUGGGGCUCAACCCCGGAAUUGCUUUUGAAACUGUCAGGCUAGAGUGUCGGAGGGGUAAGCGGAAUUCCUAGUGUAGCGGUGAAAUGCGUAGAUAUUAGGAGGAACACCGGUGGCGAAGGCGGCUUACUGGACGAUUACUGACGCUGAGGCUCGAAAGCGUGGGGAGCAAACAGGAUUAGAUACCCUGGCAGUCCACGCCGUAAACGAUGA